CCCUGCAACUCACAACUGGCAACCCACUGAAGCUAAGCAGGUGUGAGCCUGGUCAGUACCUGGAUGGGAGACCUCCUGGGAAAGACUAAGGUUGCUGCUGGAA
This 103-nucleotide ribosomal RNA is filed under the name Lepisosteus oculatus (spotted gar). Lineage: Eukaryota; Metazoa; Chordata; Actinopteri; Semionotiformes; Lepisosteidae. The record is from RNAcentral.